GACGAACGCUGGCGGCGUGCUUAACACAUGCAAGUCGAGCGAUGAAGCUCCUUCGGGAGUGGAUUAGCGGCGGACGGGUGAGUAACACGUGGGUAACCUGCCUCAUAGAGGGGAAUAGCCUUCCGAAAGGAAGAUUAAUACCGCAUAAGGUUGUAGUUUCGCAUGAAACAGCAAUUAAAGGAGCAAUCCGCUAUGAGAUGGACCCGCGUCGCAUUAGCUAGUUGGUGAGGUAACGGCUCACCAAGGCGACGAUGCGUAGCCGACCUGAGAGGGUGAUCGGCCACAUUGGGACUGAGACACGGCCCAGACUCCUACGGGAGGCAGCAGUGGGGAAUAUUGCACAAUGGGGGAAACCCUGAUGCAGCAACGCCGCGUGAGUGAUGAAGGUCUUCGGAUUGUAAAGCUCUGUCUUUGGGGACGAUAAUGACGGUACCCAAGGAGGAAGCCACGGCUAACUACGUG
RNAcentral lists this ribosomal RNA (462 nucleotides) under uncultured bacterium. RNAcentral describes it as "bacterial SSU rRNA". It matches the Rfam family "Bacterial small subunit ribosomal RNA", at positions 28 to 507 of the family's 1533-position model. The record is from RNAcentral.